This is a long non-coding RNA of Lingula anatina, 495 nucleotides long. NCBI's taxonomy places the organism in Eukaryota, Metazoa, Brachiopoda, Lingulata, Lingulida, Lingulidae. The record is from RefSeq and is a predicted model, not a curated record.
AGGUGGUUUGUCCAGAGUCAAAGGGACUCCCUGCUAGAGCCUCCAUUAGAUUUCCUAGAUUUUGCAGAAAAGAGUAAUAAUGCUCAAAAUGAGACAGACCCUAAACCACACAAUUUACGGAAACGAGGUGCCCAGACGGGGAAGAGAAAAUACCAGAAGGGGAAAACUUAGCUACAAUCCAGACAAAACUGAUGUGAAAACUUUUUAAAAAAAUAUUUCAAAUGGCCGUGAAAGACUAGUCCAUUGAAAUAGUUAUCAGUUAUCUUGUGAAAUAGUGAAAUAGAAAUUUUAUAGGUAUGUUUCUGGAGGGUUUGUAUGUCACCACAGUGGCCAGUCCCUGUACUUGAAUUGGGUUGAUAACAUUAUAGAGCGUAACAGUUAGCUCACUCAAUACGUCAUGAUGCUUGACUUUUUUUGAAGGAUGUUUCACCAUUGCAAAAUGUCAAGAACAUAAAAAUCCUUAUUUUUAAAUAAACUAAUAAAUCUGAAUAUUCA